This 518-nucleotide ribosomal RNA is filed under the name uncultured bacterium. RNAcentral's name for it is "partial 16S ribosomal RNA". It matches the Rfam family "Bacterial small subunit ribosomal RNA", at positions 355 to 861 of the family's 1533-position model. The record is from RNAcentral.
UGGGGAAUAUUGCACAAUGGGCGCAAGCCUGAUGCAGCCAUGCCGCGUGUGUGAAGAAGGCCUUCGGGUUGUAAAGCACUUUCAGCGAGGAGGAAGGUGGUGAACUUAAUACGUUCAUCAAUUGACGUUACUCGCAGAAGAAGCACCGGCUAACUCCGUGCCAGCAGCCGCGGUAAUACGGAGGGUGCAAGCGUUAAUCGGAAUUACUGGGCGUAAAGCGCACGCAGGCGGUUUGUUAAGUCAGAUGUGAAAUCCCCGGGCUCAACCUGGGAACUGCAUUUGAAACUGGCAAGCUAGAGUCUCGUAGAGGGGGGUAGAAUUCCAGGUGUAGCGGUGAAAUGCGUAGAGAUCUGGAGGAAUACCGGUGGCGAAGGCGGCCCCCUGGACGAAGACUGACGCUCAGGUGCGAAAAGCGUGGGGAGCAAACAGGAUUAGAUACCCCUGGUAGUCCACGCUGUAAAACGAUGUCGAUUUUGGAGGUUGUGCCCUUGAGGCGUGGCUUCCGGAGCUAACGCGUU